Molecule: non-coding RNA, 96 nt
Organism: Acanthosepion pharaonis
Lineage: Eukaryota; Metazoa; Mollusca; Cephalopoda; Sepiida; Sepiidae
Source: the annotation of a GenBank genome assembly
GAAACACUGGUCCUCGUACGAUCAGUAAAGUUAAGCAACGUCGAGCCUGGUCAGUAUCUAGCUGUGUAACGACUUGGGAAUACCAGGUGCUGUAAG